UUACCAUAAACUUAAUUCUCUUAUUUUUCUCUUCUCUCCUCACGAUCUCUCUCUCUUCUUCUCAUUUCUUUAUUUCUCCUCCCCCAUUUCUUCCUCAUUUCUUAUUUUCUUUCUCACGAUCUCUCCUCAGAUUUCUUCCGGCGAUGCUACCUCCGCCGCUGCCUCCGACGACGAUGACGACGAACUAGUUUUUCUUCUUAUUCUUCCUUUCUUUCUUCUUUUUCUUCUUCUUCUUUCUUUCUUCUUAUUCUUCUUCUUCUUCUUCUUCUUCUUCUUCUUCUUCUUCUUAUUCGGUCUUUCUUAUUCUUCUUUUUCUUUCUUCAAAUCUAGUUUUAUUCUUUUUCUUCUUUUUCACAUCUGAUUUUGAACUUCAUAUUUGAUUUUUCUGGGUUUUUUUUUUCUAAAUAUGUUUAAGUAACCAGGUACUUGACUUCAUAUUUGAUUUUUCUGGGUUUUUUUUUUCUAAAUCUGUUUAAGUAACCAGGUACUUGACUUCAUAUUUGACUUGAUUUAAGAAAUGUACUUAAGAAAAGUUGACUGCUAUUAUUUAGUGUAGACUAGGGUAGUAUAAGAAGCUAGGUAGUUGAAUAUUUUAGGGUACUUUUAACAUAUGAAGGCUCAGGUUAGCUGAUUAGUUUUUUUGGUUGAAAAGGGCAAAAGUUGUCAAAAGGUUCUUCCCUGUGAUGUUUAGAUCAAUUGGAUAUAGGUUUAGCAGCCAAACGUUCAUCAAAUAAGGUUCUAACAUAAAUAUUUAUGUGUUUAUUAAUUAUUUAAAGAAAUAGAACUAGAACGUUUGCUUAAAAAAUGUAUCGAUAGGUUUACAAAAUUUAUUCAGAAUACAAGUACAAGAAAUAAAAAAACAAGCAAACAAAACUUUUGUUUUUUCUGGGUUUUUUUUUCCAAAUCUGUUUAAGUAACCAGGUACCAUGACGCCUGAUUCAUUUUAUUCAUAUCAGAUUUUUUUUAGACCUAGGUGUAACCAGUUACAAUAGCGAUUAAUUUAGAUUCUUUUGUUUAGAUUUGAUUUUGUUUUCACACCAGACUAAGCAACCAGGUACCAUAGCAAUUGGUUAUUUUUUUUAGAUUUGAUUUUUUUUUCAAACCUCGCUGUAACCAGUUACGAUUAUCAAUUUAGAUUUUUUAGUAAUGUGGCAGUAACCGGUUACUACUAUCAAUUUUAACUGUCAUGGCAAGUACUCGAGUGAAUUGUAACUGGUUACUGACAGAUUUGGAAGAAAAAAAAAACAGACCAGAAUACAUCUAGUAAAGAAGAAGAAGAAGAAGAAGAAGAAGAAGAAGAAGGUAACCGGUUACCCCUAUUAAAAUAACUGAUUGAUAACUAGUUACUGAGCCAAACCUAGAAAAAAAAACCAUUACCCAAAGACUAAAGAGUAGUCCAAAAAGUGACACGCUAUAAAAGCCACAACCUACCUCUACUCCAUCAUCCCUCCCUUUCUACCAAUUCAUUGAUCAAUUUCAAUAUCGAAACUAAAAGAAAAGAGCACAAAAAUGUUGGCUAUAUUUCACAAUGCUUUCGCUCACCCACCCGAGGAGCUUAACAGCCCAGCAUCUUACAAGGCUGGUUCGAAGCCAAAACUCCCAGAAGAAACUCUUCAGGAUUUUCUCUCUCACCACCCUCAAAACACCUUCUCCAUGACCUUUGGUCAUGCUGCUGUUCUUGCUUAUGUCUGACCAGACAGACCUUUCUCCGUAAACCAGAGGUUGUUCUGUGGUUUUGAGGAUAUUUACUGCCUCUUCUUG
Molecule: long non-coding RNA, 1761 nt
Organism: Humulus lupulus (European hop)
Lineage: Eukaryota; Viridiplantae; Streptophyta; Magnoliopsida; Rosales; Cannabaceae
Exons: 2
Source: RefSeq, a predicted model, not a curated record